CACGGGAAGAGGGACUUGCUUUUCUCACGUUCCGAGAUUCUUCGGUGUAGAAAUGGGGGGUUCGGAUCGAGAGAAACGGUAGGAAAGGCAAAUAGGUCGUCGCUUCUCAAAUUUGUUUGAUGACAGACUGUUUAUAGCUAUAGUGGCUCGCUAGAAAAUGUAGAAGACUUUUAUACGUAGCUGUAUACAUAUACAUACAUAUCGUGUGUGUGUGGAAAGCAUUUUGAAAUUUCAUUAGCGCUAUAAUAAGACUGCCAUGGUUAUAUGGAUAAAAUUUCAAACUAAUUGGAAAAUGUAUGUAGAAGUUACACGGAGAAUAUAUUUUUUUCUGGGAUUUGUAUUGAUCGAAUAUGCAUAUUUUUUCGAUUCUGUUGCUUAAAGAAAAAGAAAAAAAAAGAGGAGAGCUAAAAACAGUAUUGAAAGGAAACAGCUUGUGCCGUUAAAGACUUCUUGCGGUUAAAGCUAUAUAAAACAUAAACCACAAAUUUCCACUUUCUUCUUCAACUGCCUCUAGAAUUGUUUCAUUUUUUAAGGCAUUUUUAUUGUGGAAGAAGAUUUGAAGAAGAAAAUGAUAUUUAUUUAAAGUAGUACAGUGUUGGAAAUAAUCAGACUACGAAUUUUUAUACAUUCAUGCGAAAUGUAAGGAUGUAAGAAGGCACAAAUUGAAUGAAACUUAAUAAAUAAAUAAAUAAAUAAAUAAAUAUAUAUAUAUAUAUAUAUAUAUAUAUAUAUAUAUAUAAAUAAAUAAAUAGAUGUUUAAUCUUUGUUGGGUCCGCUAUGAGGUUACAAGCACUUGAUCUCGUUUAACCUGUUUAGCCUCCUGAAUAUGUAACAAAUAUUCGCCAUUUAUACGCAUGCUAUACAAUAUAUUAAUGUAUAAAACUAUACAAUAAACACGAUUUAUGUACAAAUACUAGUUGGUACUUACAUACUCAGGUUUUUCCCGCAACAUUAUAUAUUAUAUAAUCUUUUCUAGUAACAUAGUUGACAGUUUUCUGAAUUUCUAUUGGGUUGCUAGGCAUUCUAUAGUCCGUGAAACGAUUGCCACUAGAGAUGGCGUGUAAGAUCACUAACGGGAGAUCUAUCAUAGUAAUCGUAGAAUCAGAAUCAUGGUCGUGACCUAACUUCAUUCACGACCAUGAUGAAUGAAGUUUUUUUCUAUCUCGAAUGAAUUUGCUCAGGGUGAUCGCAAUUCUCGAUCCUGAUUGAAUUAUUUUUUACAGAAUACUUGCAUAUAGCUUGCAUAGAGAUAUCUGCAUAUAACGUUAAUUUAAAAUUGCCUUAAGUUUUCUUUAUAUAUCGUAAAUUUACUUUAUUCAGUAUUAAAAACGAAAAGUAAUUCAAUUUUCCUUUCUUCAUUUUAUAUUAGUGUCUUAAAGAAUAAAACAUUAAUUCUUCCUCUCUAUUUUAAAAUCGUAAUAUUCGCUUGAUAUCGUUAAUAUAAAAUAUACAAGUUACGUGAUUCGUGCGAAGAACAGUUAUGCCCUUUAUCAAUGAGAAGCGAUCAAGAAAAAUUACAAAUUGCUGUAAAAAAUCCCCUUGAUUGCAGACGAACGUGAUCGAGUCGUGAUUCACAAGUAACAGUUCACGCCAUCUCUAGUCUCUGACUCAUAUUUUAGAUUUCUACUUCCUUUGUCAUAUGUUAACGUUUCACACGCCUAAAUCUUAUUCGAUAAAUGGUGAGAACUGCAUAAAAAUGCGUUUAGUAGUUCUCGAGAUUAGCUGUAAUAUACAGACGCUUGCAGUGAAAUUUUAUUUUAUAUUACGUAUACAUAUAGAUACACAAUAUAAUACAUACAAUACUAUACCAUACUUAUUCAUCGAAUUUUCGUAGAAGAAAUGAUUUUUUUUCAACAAAUUUUUCGCGCCAAGACACGAGGUGGUCUGGUUUGAAUAAAAGGGUUGAUUUCUUUGAAGUAAAAAACAGGCACGAACGAAUUAUGCCUAUAUUUCUAGAAACGUCUAACGAACACUUGUGCAAAGUUCGAAAUCGACAUGUAUCGGUUCCCUUGUCAAGUCCAACCAAUACAACAGCAUGUACCAUCGUAUCUUACGAAAUCUAGACGCUGUACGAUACAAUACAAUUGUACAGAAACGAAGUAUAUACAUGUAAGUACGUGUGAGCGCACGUAAUGCACAAUUUACAUAAUAAAAUUUAUAUAAAAAAUAUAUGCAUACAUGUACAGGUAUACAUAUACAAUAAGGAUUAUAAUUUUUAAUAGAUACAACGAAUCUCUAAUUAAGUUCUAUGUUUCUUCAAUUGUGAAAAUAUAAAUUUGCAUAAAAAUUUGCAGUCUGGAAAUAGUUGAAAACUAUCUUAAACAGGAAAAGUGGUAAUAGAAUAAAACAUCUUCCUUAGCUAAACAUCUUCUUGUGCGUGCGUGCGUGCGUGCGUGCGUGCGUGCGUGCGUGCGUGUGUGUGUGUAUUUGUACAAGAUUUGAUUCGAAAUAUUACCACAUUCUGAUACAGGAGAAAGAAAUAGAUUGGAAGAAUUUUAUGCAUAAAUUAUCAUAUAUAGCAAUUUUACCAAUUUUUUAAGUUGAUACUUUUCGCUGUUUUCUUCAUAGAAACGUCUGAGUAACGUUAAAAUUGGUAUAGGAAUUCAUCAUGCCUUCGUAUUUAUCUAAAAGAAAAAAUAACAGCCUGUGAAGAUACAAGGAAUUCGUACGUACAAGUAGUGCAAUUCUGUUAAGAUACAUUGUGUUAUUCGAGAAAUGAAUGGAAGAAACUGUUAUGUAAACAAGAAGACUGGUUCUCCUUGCUAUAUUAGACAAGCAUUGAUGAUUAUCGUCUUUUUGUAAGUUGCUCUUAAAAAAGACGUCCAACAAAUUGCGAGAAGGUAAUUUCGAAAUGGAAUAAAUUACAUUUGUUGGGUUGGUGUAUACAAAAUGUCUUUUUUAAAUGAAACUUUAAUAGCAGGUAGUUUCUUCAAGAACACCAUGUAUUUCAAACAAAAUAAAUUUAACUAGUUUUAUUAUCCUAGAUUUAUCAAACUUAUCAAUUCUAGAAUUUAAAAAUUCUCCAAACGAAAUUGUUACAGUGUUUUAAUAAUCUAUGUAUCAGACAUUUAAUCAGGUUUUCUCUAACUUCUUCCAAACGACAAAUUUAUUUUUUCAACAGCUUUCAUGACACGUUUCGUCAUGCAAGAAAAUUAAACGAAUAUUUUGAUUAUUCAUAAUAGCUAAUAAGAUUUUCAUAUCUACGUUAUAAAUCUUUUUAACAUCGAAUAUACCUAGUUUAUAGCAAACUUGCCUUUCCUUUAUUAUGAUAUUUUAUCGACGAUAGUAUAAAGUUUAAUAGGUGAAAUAAAUAAAAAUUAAUAAAUUAUAAAGGUUAAUCUAAUAUGGUUCGUAAAAUUGAAAGUUUAAAUAAUCAUCAUUUCAUAUGUACAAUGACCAUAUGUAGACAGUAAUGAAACUAGUCGUUGCUAGAAGAAUUAAGAAACUUGGAAAAAGUAAAAACUUCAUGUUAUAUUUAUUUAUUAGAAUAUUUUCAUAUGCAUCAAGCAAGCAACAACCAUAGGCAUACAGUAAUGAAACAAUUCGUUGCCAAAAGAAAUAACAAAUUUUGAAAGAGUCGCAACUUUAUUUUAUAUUUAUGUAUUGGAAGAUUUUACAUUUUUGAAUGUUUAAUGCUUGAAAAAAUUAUUUAUAUAGUGGGAGACUGAACUGUAGAGUGAGUCUCUCGUUAUCGAUUCUGAACAUUCGUUCAUUAACUAUGUAUUCUAAUUCGUAAUAUUUAUUUCUGAAUAUUUACAUCUACGUAUGUGUGGACUUUGUAUCUUGCGAAACAAGUUUUUUUUAAAGAAAUUAUUAAAAAUAAUCGUCUAUAGCGUUCAAGCAACUGGUUAUUAUAUAACGAUAGAAAUUAUCAAUUUUACGGUAAACUUAAAGAAUUGGAUAGUGAAAGAAUUGGAAGAAAAUUUCAGUGGUGAACGGUGCAAUUUUGGGAGAUUACAAGGUAUUCCAGCGAUGGUGAUACAACCGAUAAGAAGAUAACUGUUUAUGAGAAAAUAAAUCAAAAGUGCAGACUAAUGGUUUUACGUAUGAGGAUUCGUUUUCAGAAAGAACGACUAUUUACGAGCUACAAAAAAAAAAAAAAAAAAAAAAAAAAAAAAAAAAAAAAAAAAAAAAAAAAAAAAAAAAAAAAAAAAAAAAAAAAAAAAAGAAAAGAAAAGAAAAGAAAGAAAAAAAUUAAGUGACGAAGAAAA
This is a long non-coding RNA of Bombus huntii, 4211 nucleotides long. RefSeq lists it as uncharacterized. Lineage: Eukaryota; Metazoa; Arthropoda; Insecta; Hymenoptera; Apidae. The record is from RefSeq and is a predicted model, not a curated record. The transcript is spliced from 2 exons.